RNAcentral lists this ribosomal RNA (351 nucleotides) under uncultured bacterium. RNAcentral describes it as "bacterial SSU rRNA". It matches the Rfam family "Bacterial small subunit ribosomal RNA", at positions 917 to 1271 of the family's 1533-position model. The record is from RNAcentral.
GGGCCCGCACAAGCGGUGGAGCAUGUGGUUUAAUUCGAUGAUACGCGAGGAACCUUACCAGGGCUUAAAUGUAAGUUGCAUAGAUCAGAGAUGGUCUUUUCUUCGGACUACUUACAAGGUGCUGCAUGGUUGUCGUCAGCUCGUGCCGUGAGGUGUCAGGUUAAGUCCUAUAACGAGCGCAACCCCUGUCGUUAGUUACCAGCAAGUAAUGUUGGGUACUCUAGCGAGACUGCCGGUGCAAACCGUGAGGAAGGUGGGGAUGACGUCAAAUCAUCACGGCCCUUACGUCCUGGCUACACACGUGCUACAAUGGCCGGUACAGAGAGCAGCCACCUCGUGAGAGGGAGCGGA